UAACACGUGGAUAACCUACAUAUAAGACUGGGAUAACUUCGGGAAACCGGAGCUAAUACCGGAUAAUAUUUUGAACCGCAUGGUUCAAAAGUGAAAGACGGUCUUGCUGUCACUUAUAGAUGGAUCCGCGCUGCAUUAGCUAGUUGGUAAGGUAACGGCUUACCAAGGCAACGAUGCAUAGCCGACCUGAGAGGGUGAUCGGCCACACUGGAACUGAGAUACGGUCCAG
Molecule: ribosomal RNA, 229 nt
Filed under: uncultured Staphylococcus sp.
Lineage: Bacteria; Bacillati; Bacillota; Bacilli; Caryophanales; Staphylococcaceae
Description: partial 16S ribosomal RNA
Rfam family: Bacterial small subunit ribosomal RNA
Source: RNAcentral